RNAcentral lists this ribosomal RNA (593 nucleotides) under Salmonella enterica subsp. enterica serovar Infantis. RNAcentral describes it as "partial 23S ribosomal RNA". It matches the Rfam family "Bacterial large subunit ribosomal RNA", at positions 711 to 1299 of the family's 2925-position model. The record is from RNAcentral. Lineage: Bacteria; Pseudomonadati; Pseudomonadota; Gammaproteobacteria; Enterobacterales; Enterobacteriaceae. RNAcentral also lists the same sequence under 2 other names.
AGACCCGAAACCCGGUGAUCUAGCCAUGGGCAGGUUGAAGGUUGGGUAACACUAACUGGAGGACCGAACCGACUAAUGUUGAAAAAUUAGCGGAUGACCUGUGGCUGGGGGUGAAAGGCCAAUCAAACCGGGAGAUAGCUGGUUCUCCCCGAAAGCUAUUUAGGUAGCGCCUCGUGAAUUCAUCUCCGGGGGUAGAGCACUGUUUCGGCUAGGGGGCCAUCCCGGCUUACCAACCCGAUGCAAACUGCGAAUACCGGAGAAUGUUAUCACGGGAGACACACGGCGGGUGCUAACGUCCGUCGUGAAGAGGGAAACAACCCAGACCGCCAGCUAAGGUCCCAAAGUCAUGGUUAAGUGGGAAACGAUGUGGGAAGGCCCAGACAGCCAGGAUGUUGGCUUAGAAGCAGCCAUCAUUUAAAGAAAGCGUAAUAGCUCACUGGUCGAGUCGGCCUGCGCGGAAGAUGUAACGGGGCUAAACCAUGCACCGAAGCUGCGGCAGCGACACUCAGGUGUUGUUGGGUAGGGGAGCGUUCUGUAAGCCUGUGAAGGUGUGUCGUGAGGCAUGCUGGAGGUAUCAGAAGUGCGAAUGCUGA